RNAcentral lists this long non-coding RNA (592 nucleotides) under Mus spicilegus (steppe mouse). RNAcentral describes it as "lncRNA (ENSMSIG00000027119.1)". Lineage: Eukaryota; Metazoa; Chordata; Mammalia; Rodentia; Muridae. The record is from RNAcentral.
AUGUACACACACACACACACAUCACACACACACACACCACACAAACACAUCACACACACAUCACAUAUCACCACACAUACAUCACACACACAUAUCACACACAUACACACACAUCACACAUACACACCACACAAACUCACACCACUAAAAGGAAAGUGGGGAAUGAAAUCAAGCCGGGCUGCAAACCAGCUCAGAUCACUCACCAUUGGCCAGCACAUCUCUCAGUUGCAAGGAAUGCAGGGACAGAAGACCACAUCAGCACCUGGAGCAUGCAGCCAGGAAAUCCCAGGCCCAACAGGGGUGCAGACAAACCACCUUAUUUCCCCCAUAAACACAGGGCAAGGAGAAAGCAACAGAAGAAAAGAACCCCAAGAAAGAGACAUUUCAGGGGGAGAUGCAGCUCAGUGGAGAGUGCUUGCCUAGCAUGAACAACCCCAAAUUCUGACCCCAGCAUCAAAACAAGACAAGAUGGAGCAGGCGGGCAGCAAAGGAGUCUGUGUAAAUCCUAUUGUGGAUCUUGUCGGAAUCCUGUAAACUAACAACAUGUAAACACUGGCUAAAUAUUAAAGACCUGACAUUUUUCAGGUGUGAU